AUCUUCUUCAAAGGAAUUCCUAGUGCUGAGGAAAGCCAAGAGACAACCAUCUUUCUGGAUUCUUCUUUCUUGUCUCUUGCUCCAGCUCAGCUCAAGGAAGUU
This 102-nucleotide ribosomal RNA is filed under the name Lingulaulax polyedra. RNAcentral's name for it is "Lingulodinium polyedra partial Bacterial large subunit ribosomal RNA". Lineage: Eukaryota; Dinophyceae; Gonyaulacales; Lingulodiniaceae. The record is from RNAcentral.